CUGGCCCUGAAUUGAGGCUGGCAGCUUCCUGACAUGUUGUUUUCAAAUAGGAGCCUAAAGAGAUGUCUUUCUAUGGUCUGUUGGCCAUUUCAGAACUUGAGCAAUAAAUGGUCAAUUCAUUAGAAAGAAACAGCU
This is a small nucleolar RNA of Cavia porcellus (domestic guinea pig), 135 nucleotides long. Lineage: Eukaryota; Metazoa; Chordata; Mammalia; Rodentia; Caviidae. The record is from Ensembl.